Molecule: ribosomal RNA, 253 nt
Filed under: uncultured bacterium
Lineage: Bacteria
Description: partial 16S ribosomal RNA
Rfam family: Bacterial small subunit ribosomal RNA
Source: RNAcentral
UACGAAGGGGGCUAGCGUUGUUCGGAGUUACUGGGCGUAAAGGGCCAGUAGGCGGCCAACUAAGUCGGAUGUGAAAUCCCCAGGCUUAACCUGGGAACUGCAUCCGAUACUGGAUGGCUUGAAUUCGGGAGAGGGAUGCAGAAUUCCAGGUGUAGCGGUGAAAUGCGUAGAUAUCAAGAGGAACACCUGAGGUGAAGACGGGUUGCUGGGCUGACACUGACGCUGAGGCGCGAAAGCUAGGGUAGCAAACGGG